GUGCUCUCUUCAGCAGCACAUGUACUAAAAUUGGAACAGAAGAUACAGAGAUUAGCAUGGACCGUGCACAAGGAUGACGCGCAAAUUCGUGAAGCGUUUCCAUAUUUU
Small nuclear RNA from Jaculus jaculus (lesser Egyptian jerboa), 108 nucleotides. NCBI's taxonomy places the organism in Eukaryota, Metazoa, Chordata, Mammalia, Rodentia, Dipodidae. The record is from Ensembl.